UACGUAGGGUGCGAGCGUUGUCCGGAAUUAUUGGGCGUAAAGAGCUUGUAGGCGGUCUGUCGCGUCUGCUGUGAAAAUCCGGGGCUCAACCCCGGACUUUCAGUGGGUACGGGCAGACUAGAGUGUGGUAGGGGAGACUGGAAUUCCUGGUGUAGCGGUGAAAUGCGCAGAUAUCGGGAGGAACACCAGUAGCGAAGGCGGCACUCUGGGCCGGUACUGACGCUGAGGAGCGAAAGCGUGGGGAGCGAACAGG
RNAcentral lists this ribosomal RNA (253 nucleotides) under uncultured bacterium. RNAcentral describes it as "partial 16S ribosomal RNA". It matches the Rfam family "Bacterial small subunit ribosomal RNA", at positions 524 to 776 of the family's 1533-position model. The record is from RNAcentral.